RNAcentral lists this ribosomal RNA (490 nucleotides) under uncultured bacterium. Its description in RNAcentral is "bacterial SSU rRNA". It matches the Rfam family "Bacterial small subunit ribosomal RNA", at positions 29 to 503 of the family's 1533-position model. The record is from RNAcentral.
AACGAACGCUGGCGGCGUGGAUUAGGCAUGCAAGUCGUACGCGAAAGAGGGGGCAACCCCUUGAGUAGAGUGGCGAACGGGUGAGUAACGCGUGAGGAACCUGCCUUCGACAGGGGGAUAACACUCCCAACGGGGUGCUAAUACCGCAUGAGACCACGGGGCUGCAUGGCCCUGAGGUCAAAGAUGGCCUCUAUUUAUAAGCUAUCGGUCGAAGAUGGCCUCGCGUCCCAUUAGCUAGUUGGCGGUGUAAAAGACCACCAAGGCGACGAUGGGUAGCUGGUCUGAGAGGAUGAUCAGCCACACUGGAACUGAGACACGGUCCAGACUCCUACGGGAGGCAGCAGUAAGGAAUAUUGCUCAAUGGCCGAAAGGCUGAAGCAGCAACGCCGCGUGGAGGAUGAAAUACUUUUGUAUGUAAACUCCUGUGAGAAGGGAAAAUAUGCAGAUUUUCUGCGUUGAUUGUACCUUCAGAGGAAGCCCCGGCUAACUA